Molecule: long non-coding RNA, 1001 nt
Filed under: Sus scrofa (pig)
Lineage: Eukaryota; Metazoa; Chordata; Mammalia; Artiodactyla; Suidae
Description: lncRNA (ENSSSCG00030018712.1)
Source: RNAcentral
UUCCCUGGCCUCAUUCAGUGGGUUAUGGAUCUAGCGCUGCUGCAAGUUGCGGGGUAGGUUAUAGAUGCGGCUCCGAUCUCAGGUUGCUGUGGCUGUGGUGUGGGCUGGCAGCUGCAGCUCUGAUUCCACCCCUAGCCUGGGAACUUCCGUAUGCCACAGAUGCAGUCCUGAAAAAAAAAAAAAGAAAAGAAAAAAAAAAAGAAAUACAGUGGCCAGGACAAGGAUGUAGGUUGGCUAGCAUCUGCUUUCCCUGUGUCCCAUGGUAGAAUCAUCACGCAGGCAGCCCUUCGAAGACCAGAAAGUCCUACAAUUCACCAAAGGAAGAUUUUUCCUUGGCUUCUUCCAAGCCAUCCGGGCCCCUUCAAACCAUCCGCAUGAUGGCCAGCAGAGGGCGCUCUCCCAGGGGCCCACACUGGGUGCCAGGCCACAUAACUCUGCAAUGUGUUGGCUGAACUUUUCAGGAAACUUGGAUGCCACGCAUACUUUUCCUUUCUUUGUGGGCAGGCAAGAGGAGUCACGUUUUUCUGAAGUCUGCUCAGCCCCAGGAUCCAGACCUCACCAGCUGCCUGGAUCCAGCAGACUCCAGCCUGGGCCAGGGAGUGCAGGGCCCAGGGCCCAGGCUCUGGUGGCUCCGGGGAGGCCCAAGGACGGGCGCAGCGUCCUGGACAGAGCCAUGGAGCGCUGGCAGGUGGGGAGGACCUCAGCCAGCCAGGCACAGGAGUGGUUCCAUCCUGCUGGUCACAUAAACAGCCUGCUUUACGAGAAGACUGGUGUCGGCGUGGCAGUUCUGCAGGGCCACCAGCCUCACGUUCCAGAUCCAAGAGCCAAGGCCUAAGUCACUCCGGUCUGACCCUGAUUCGUGGAGCGUGCCCGGGCUGGGGCUUCUGCGGGGCCAGGAGGCAGGAGGUUCUCAGCCCCGGGAAGCCCUUGGCACGAGAAUCGAAGACUUGCAGGCUCCAAAUUAAAGUCUUUAAAGCCCAAGUUCAUUCCGCUACACAGAG